GUGAAUCAUCAAAUUUUUGAACGCAAAUUGCACUCCCUGGUAUUCCGGAGAGCAUGCCUGUUUGAGGGUCAGUUUAAAUAAAAAUCGGUGUGGUUGCUGCCUUCCGUGGUGACGCACCGGAUUUGGGUCGUCUUGCUUUCGGUUAAGUGACCUAAAAUUUUGCAUGAUUUUUUUCGAACGUAUUUAAAUGAUUUUACGUCCGCUUGCGUUUUUGAAUACUUGGUGUGGCU
RNAcentral lists this unclassified non-coding RNA (230 nucleotides) under Glomeraceae sp. RNAcentral's name for it is "partial contains 5.8S ribosomal RNA and internal transcribed spacer 2". The stretch from base 1 to 71 matches the Rfam family "5.8S ribosomal RNA", at positions 84 to 154 of the family's 154-position model. The record is from RNAcentral. Lineage: Eukaryota; Fungi; Glomeromycota; Glomeromycetes; Glomerales; Glomeraceae.